GACGAACGCUGGCGGCGUGCUUAACACAUGCAAGUCGAACGGAAAGGCCCUGCUUUUGUGGGGUGCUCGAGUGGCGAACGGGUGAGUAACACGUGAGUAACCUGCCCUUGACUUUGGGAUAACUUCAGGAAACUGGGGCUAAUACCGGAUAGGAGCUCCUGCUGCAGGGAGGGGGUUGGAAAGUUUCGGCGGUUGGGGAUGGACUCGCGGCUUAUCAGCUUGUUGGUGGGGUAGUGGCUUACCAAGGCUUUGACGGGUAGCCGGCCUGAGAGGGUGACCGGCCACAUUGGUACUGAGAUACGGCCCAGUCUCCUACGGUAGGCAGCGGUGGGGAAUAUUGCACAAUGGGCGGAAGCCUGAUGCAGCAACGCCGCGUGCGGGAUGACGGCCUUCUGGUUGUAAACCGCUUUCGCCUGUGACGAAGCGUGAGUGACGGUAAUGGGUAAAGAAGCACCGGCUAACUACGUG
RNAcentral lists this ribosomal RNA (468 nucleotides) under uncultured bacterium. RNAcentral describes it as "partial 16S ribosomal RNA". It matches the Rfam family "Bacterial small subunit ribosomal RNA", at positions 28 to 507 of the family's 1533-position model. The record is from RNAcentral.